UCAUCUCUCUGACCUCCUCCGUCCGCCUCCCUCUCUCUUCAAGAAACGCACACACACAGCACAUCUCAUCUCUCUCCCUCUCCUCGUUUCUGCCGCCGCCGCCCGAGAUCGGCGAAGGUCCGGCAUAUCGCCGUCGUCCUGCUCCUGUCCCGGUGAAUCGACGGCAGCCGCGCCUCCUCACGGCCCAUCCCCUCUCGGUAUCUCUCUCCCUCUCCUCGUGCUCGCGGUGGGCAGUCACCCCGGCGACCACAGUGCCGCCGCGACGACCUCAACAGCACCGCUGCCUGCUCUUCUUUCUCCCCCUCGGCCGGUCGAGCAACGGCAUCCCGAAGGGCCGCCGCUCGUGCCGCUGCUUCCGCCGCGUCGCCGCCGUCUCUGCCGGAGAAGAUAAGUCCUUUCCCCUUUCCUACUUAUUCCCCUUUUCUCUCUUUUCUAAAUCUAAAACUCAAUUAAUCUUUCUCCUCUCCUCCCAAUGUCUGACAGAAAAAGAAAAGGCGGCGGCUUGCCGCCGAGCCGUCGCCGUCGCCGGCCCUGAGCAGCCGUCGGCUGCUCUCACUCCUCCCUCCGUCCCCGGUCACACACAAUAAAGACACAAGAAGGCUCAAUUUCAGUCCAGAUUCACAUAUAGAAAGUUAGGGUUUUUGUUUAGAAAUUCUGUUCUUUCAUCAUUUCUUUUUAUCAGAUCUUGAAAUCCUUGUAAUUGUAAUAGUUAGGUGAAAAUAAUGAUUAUGAGUGUGUGUUUGUUUGUUGGUGGUCCUCUGAUGCUUGAUAAGAUGAUGUAAUUGAAGCAAUAAUAAUCUAAAAGAAGUUGUUUAUGCUGGAAAUAACCUUGAAGAGGCAGAUGAGGAUUUGUGGCUUCUGCAUAAAUGAUGCUAGGUGUUAGAAUGUAAUCCUCGAAAAAUUAAAUGGAGGAAAUAAACAAAAUUUACACACCUUGAUUCUUGAUUUGGAACUUGAAACAAACUUGAUAAUUUCUUUGAAGGACCCGUGAGGAGUAGGAGGAAAGAAAAUGGUAAUUUAGAAGAUUAGAGAGAGAGGAUUUCUUAAUGAGGAAUCUGCAAGAUGUAGUGCUGAAUAUGGAAUAUAGUGGUGGAGAAAUAAAAAAAUGAAGUGUGUGGAGAGUUAGGUGUAUUGGUGGGGAAAAAGGGUGUAGUAGUGGGGAGGUAGUGGAAUAAUGAUUAUUUAGUGGAAUGAGUGUAGAAGAUGGCCGGCAAUGAUGAGUGUAAAGAGUGUUUAGUGGAAUUAGUGGAAUUAGUGGAAUAAUUUGCAUAUGAUGAGUGUUUCCAACACCAUCAAUUUAUUUAAGAGAUAGAUGUAUGUGGAAAUGAAAAGUAUAUGAUAACGUAUUUG
This 1350-nucleotide long non-coding RNA is filed under the name Salvia miltiorrhiza (redroot sage). Its description in RNAcentral is "long non-coding RNA (SMIL_LNC009040)". The record is from RNAcentral. Lineage: Eukaryota; Viridiplantae; Streptophyta; Magnoliopsida; Lamiales; Lamiaceae.